CAAGAAGUAGCUCAUUCAAAUUAUUUCUCUUAUCAAUAAACAACUCUAUAACUUAGUGCUUAAGAUUUAACUUAUAGAUAGUAUUAAUAACAAAGAGCCCUAAUUCUUACCAAUAAAUGCACACUAGCGGAGUUUAUUUAGAUUAGAUUGCAUGCCCACACAACAUAAAUUGCAUACUUUGACAUACACAACCAUGCUAUUCGUCACUAGUAUUAGAAUCGAUAAAACAUUUAUGGAUUUAACUAUUUUAAUUAACAAAGCAAGUAAUCUAAGCAAUUAACAGGGCACAACGUUGGGGCUUAAGGCAGGGUGAUAGAGCACAUGUGUUCGCAUGCUAAGGGUUGUGCAAUCCACGCUUGGGCAUUGGGGCUUUGAGUCGUGUCCCACACAUCCUCUUUCGACUCUUUGCAUUUUUGCUUGGUUUUUCUCCCGUUAGUCCUUGAUCUUGCUUCCCACACUUGUAUGCACCUAAUUAAAGUCAUGAAAAUAAUGAAAUAAUUAUUUAUUACUAAACAAUAUAAAAUCAAAGAAAAAGUAAUAAAAAAAUGCUAAUGUAUGCAAAUGUAACAUUAAACAGGAAAUUGAAGCUAAGACAUGAUGUUUCAAUCGGUGAAAAGUAAAGCAAAUAGGGUCUAAAAUACAUGAAUUAUGAGUACUUAUCAAAUUGGAUUAUGUGUCAUUUUUAAAUAUGAAAAUAUUUGGUAAUGUGAUUAAUUUUAAGCCACGUGAAAACUAUGAAGCAAAAUGAAAAAAGGAAAAAUAAUUAAUCUACAGAUAUGAUAAAUCAACUUUGCUUAACAUUCAAUGAAUGAUGGUUAGAAACAGACAACGCAAAAAGUAAGAGCAUAAUAGAAUUGAAACAACUGAUCUUUGUUAAUAUAGUUUAGACACAAUGGUCCUAUAUCUGUGGAGCCUCGCCUAAUGAAUGGUUUUAUUCAGCAAUCGUCUAAAUCACCUAUUGGCUUAAGCAUUAUCUACCCUUACACAAAGAAGUAAUUGCAUCCCCAAUAUCGACCCCAAUUGUAACAAAUCACUCACCCUGAAUACCUUAAAUACAAUCAAUAAAAUCUUCAAAGAAUACCUAAAAGAGUGCCAUAGAAUAAUCACAAGAAAACACUACAAAGCUAUCAGUAAAGACACUCCUAAACUUGCUCUUCAUGUGCGACACAAAAUAGCCUAUUUACAGGCCUCUUCAAGUGGUCAAUCAAUAGUGUUUUGAUAAGAUUUAAACUCUUAUUCAAAAGCUGAAAUUGUCUCAAUAAUUAUCCUGAGUAUCUAUCAUAUAGAAGUCUUCCAUAAAUCAAUCUUCCAAUUGUAACACUCCCAUUCCAUCACUGGGUCACGAAAUCGAAAUGUUACAUUAGUUGUCGAAGCAAAAACAAUCAAAUUCGAUUAAUUUAAAACAUUCAUUUUGUAACUUCCCCAACCUGACCCAGACAUUAUGACUGGACUCUGAAGCCUACAUUGGCCACCGAAAUGACCAAGUAAAAUCGUUCAGUUGAAAACCUUUAUUUUUACCAAGUUCAAAAAAAAACUUAUCGUUUUUGCCUUGGUUUUGCUAAAAAUGUUAGGUUAUUAGGUCGACUAUACUUAAAGUCCUUUUUUUAUAACUUGUGAUAUUUGAGAAAAACGUAGUUGAUUUGUAACAUCAAUUUGCCUUUUCAAAACUUGUUUCUUUAUUACGCAACGGAAUAUUGGUAAAAUCAUCAAUUUUACUCUAAGUAGAGUUUCAUCUGAUUUAAACCAUUUAUUAAAUACGUUUGGUUUUUAAUCAAAAUCUCAUGCAUGCAAAACCUAAAUAAAAAAAAGAAAAAAAAUAAACCCACGCCACAGUUCAAAUUUAACUUAUUAUAGUUACAAAUAAAAAAUAUUUUUAAACGGAAAGUACUUUAUUUACAAAAAAUACGAUGUUUGAGUUAAGUGCUCCGUAUGCCAUGUUUAAACUUUGGGGUUAAGGAUUACUUGUAAGGAUUAAAAUAUGGGGUGAGCUUGAAAAAGCUCAGUGUGAGUCUAACAUAACAAGCAAUAUUUUUGCAUUCAUUCAAACAAUCACAGUAGGGCACACAACCAACAAUAUCAAUGUCCAUAGUAGAUCAUGGUAGUUCAUUAAACAGUGUAUAUGAAUGGGCAUGUCUAAAUGUAAAACAGUGUAAAGGUCUUACCCAUCCAUUCGCUACACACCACGAGUUCCCUUGAACCCAUCAUCCGAACACUAGAAAUAGUAAGAGUCGAAGCUCGUUGUGGAUAAACCACCAGUAACAGUAUAUAGUUGAAUUGUCAAUAUAUUACAGAUAAGCUGCCAGUAAAUUGUUAAUAAACUGUCGGUACUCCAUGGAACUCCAUAAUGCAGAUAUAUUGUCAAAACAAUAAUGUGGAUGAACCACUGGUACUCCACAGAACACCUCCAUCACCCAUCAAACCCAAAACCCAUGCAAUGCAAUAUGUCAUGUAAAAAGUUGAGCUAUCAUGCUAUAAUAGUAUCAGUUUCAAUACAGCGGCAUACUUAGCAUGUAUUCAAUAAAACAGUAUCAGUGACAUCUUGUGCACGCAUUUAGUGAGAACAGUAACAUUUAGUGGCAUGCAUACAUACAGUCAAUAUGCAAUAAGCCAAUGACAUGCUAUACAUGUAUUUAAUACACAAUAUGAUAGACAAGCUUACAUGUAGUCAGUAAUCAGCAACGAUUAUCAUGUUUAGUAGUACAAGUCACAAACUGGCAUGCAUUUAGCCAACCGAUAAAAUAGAUCACACAAUCAUUUACCUCUCUUGUAGGCCCUAUAACAUUCGACCAUUUACCAGUGGAUCACUUAGUGCUUUCGGCCAUCUCACAACAACUUACCAUAACCAACCACUUCAUGGAUGGCACAAUGCCAUUCGGCCAUGCAUCAAAUUCACACACCACAUUCAACCAACAUUUAAGCAAUCAUACAACCAUCAAUAAUCACCAAAACACAAAUAAUUUAGGAACCACACCUUAAUUACACAAAUACACAGCACUAAUGCAAAUCCGCAACUUUCACGUUUUAGAUUUGGACAAAUCUAGGGGUGGGUUUGGAUGGGCGAUUGGAUGCGGUGUGGUGCGUUUAGCCUACUUUUUGUCUCAUGCUACAGUGUUGUUACAGUAUCUAAUCUCACUGUCACCGCAGUUUUUACACUAACCGCAGGUAAACACACCGCUCAUCAAAACUCACCCUAGAUUUGAUAUGUACAUAACAUAAAAAAUACAAUUAAACCAGUAUUUGACACCCCCUAAAGGGUUCAGCCAAAACAAGGUUUAACAAUGGCCACUUAGAUCCGAUUCUUGAGACCAGUACUUACUCUAUUUUGGUUAAACAAGAGAUGCAGAACACCCUAUGAUGUUAUAGAUGAUCUGAGACGUUUGAAUUUGGUCCUUCAAUAAAACAAUAGCACACAAAAUUAGUAUGUAAUAUUCGACCAAAGCAAAGUGAAAGGAAACAAACAACUAGCCUAGAUCUAAUUAAGAUCCGCACUUACACUUCACCCAAUUAAUAGAUCUGUGAUGUAUGUUGAUCAUAGAAUCGGAAAACCACCAGCAAUGGCCAAGGGGGGUUUGACCAAAGGGAGUGCAAAAAUUAGCAGUGAAUAUAAUGAAAUAAGAUGAGAAAAUAGGGCUUAAAGAAGUGGCAACGCAAGAAAAAUGGCAGCAAUGGGGCAUCAAAGAAUAGUAGUAAAAAUAAUGAACAAAGGGUGAAAGAGCGGAGGGAAACAAUGCAAAAUGACGCCACUAAUGGAGGAGGAGAGGGGGAACAACAAUGGUGAAAAAAAUAGGUUAAUGAGGUGGCACAAGGAGGAAGAAAAGAUAAAAAAAUUUGAGAAAAUAGAGAGAGUGGAACGAAAAGGGAGAAAACAAAUAAGUAAAGGCUGACAAAAAAGGAGAAAAAUAAC
RNAcentral lists this long non-coding RNA (3904 nucleotides) under Gossypium barbadense (sea-island cotton). RNAcentral describes it as "long non-coding RNA (GBAR_LNC022269)". Lineage: Eukaryota; Viridiplantae; Streptophyta; Magnoliopsida; Malvales; Malvaceae. The record is from RNAcentral.